Long non-coding RNA from Neofelis nebulosa (Clouded leopard), 542 nucleotides. RefSeq lists it as uncharacterized. NCBI's taxonomy places the organism in Eukaryota, Metazoa, Chordata, Mammalia, Carnivora, Felidae. The record is from RefSeq and is a predicted model, not a curated record. The transcript has 2 exons.
GACGCGCUGCAGGGGCCCGGGUGUUUCGUUGCAUCCCCACUGGGAAGCGGGCGACCCGGAGCAGUUCCUAAGUGUGCAGAGCUGCCCAGCCCCGCCCCGGCCCCAGGGAGCCAGAGCCGCGGGGAGGCGGGAUGUGGUUUAGCUCAGCUGUAAGCCACCCUCGUAACGCCUAGGGAUGGAGAAGAGGGCUGACGGGGAGCUGGGAGCGGCCCUGCCAGAAAUCUGCAGUCGUCUUUUCUUGCGAGUCAGGCCCGUCCCUGGACAAUGCAGAAUUCCCAUGUGAAAGCCACCCUCCAGGGACCAGGAGGAAAAGCACACUGUCAUCAUCAGAGGCAGGGAGUUGAGGCCAAGAAGGAUCUGUACAGACCACGUCGUGAAAACAGCCUUCUCUUCCUUUUCAACUCCCCCUAUUUCACAAUCACUGCUGUUUGUUCAACCUAAAUGCAUGUGAGCAUUUAGACCUAACCACUUUGGGGGGCAUCAUUUUCCUGUGAAUGCUUUUUUGUAAGUGUAAAAUAGAAUGUGUAUGCUUUUUUCUUGUU